AAAUUGAAGAGUUUGAUCAUGGCUCAGAUUGAACGCUGGCGGCAGGCCUAACACAUGCAAGUCGAGCGGUAGCACAGAGAGCUUGCUCUCGGGUGACGAGCGGCGGACGGGUGAGUAAUGUCUGGGAAACUGCCUGAUGGAGGGGGAUAACUACUGGAAACGGUAGCUAAUACCGCAUAACGUCGCAAGACCAAAGUGGGGGACCUUCGGGCCUCAUGCCAUCAGAUGUGCCCAGAUGGGAUUAGCUAGUAGGUGGGGUAACGGCUCACCUAGGCGACGAUCCCUAGCUGGUCUGAGAGGAUGACCAGCCACACUGGAACUGAGACACGGUCCAGACUCCUACGGGAGGCAGCAGUGGGGAAUAUUGCACAAUGGGCGCAAGCCUGAUGCAGCCAUGCCGCGUGUGUGAAGAAGGCCUUCGGGUUGUAAAGCACUUUCAGCGGGGAGGAAGGCGUUAAGGUUAAUAACCUUGGCGAUUGACGUUACCCGCAGAAGAAGCACCGGCUAACUCCGUGCCAGCAGCCGCGGUAAUACGGAGGGUGCAAGCGUUAAUCGGAAUUACUGGGCGUAAAGCGCACGCAGGCGGUCUGUCAAGUCGGAUGUGAAAUCCCCGGGCUCAACCUGGGAACUGCAUUCGAAACUGGCAGGCUAGAGUCUUGUAGAGGGGGGUAGAAUUCCAGGUGUAGCGGUGAAAUGCGUAGAGAUCUGGAGGAAUACCGGUGGCGAAGGCGGCCCCCUGGACAAAGACUGACGCUCAGGUGCGAAAGCGUGGGGAGCAAACAGGAUUAGAUACCCUGGUAGUCCACGCCGUAAACGAUGUCGAUUUGGAGGUUGUGCCCUUGAGGCGUGGCUUCCGGAGCUAACGCGUUAAAUCGACCGCCUGGGGAGUACGGCCGCAAGGUUAAAACUCAAAUGAAUUGACGGGGGCCCGCACAAGCGGUGGAGCAUGUGGUUUAAUUCGAUGCAACGCGAAGAACCUUACCUGGUCUUGACAUCCACAGAACUUUCCAGAGAUGGAUUGGUGCCUUCGGGAACUGUGAGACAGGUGCUGCAUGGCUGUCGUCAGCUCGUGUUGUGAAAUGUUGGGUUAAGUCCCGCAACGAGCGCAACCCUUAUCCUUUGUUGCCAGCGGUCCGGCCGGGAACUCAAAGGAGACUGCCAGUGAUAAACUGGAGGAAGGUGGGGAUGACGUCAAGUCAUCAUGGCCCUUACGACCAGGGCUACACACGUGCUACAAUGGCAUAUACAAAGAGAAGCGACCUCGCGAGAGCAAGCGGACCUCAUAAAGUAUGUCGUAGUCCGGAUUGGAGUCUGCAACUCGACUCCAUGAAGUCGGAAUCGCUAGUAAUCGUAAAUCAGAAUGCUACGGUGAAUACGUUCCCGGGCCUUGUACACACCGCCCGUCACACCAUGGGAGUGGGUUGCAAAAGAAGUAGGUAGCUUAACCUUCGGGAGGGCGCUUACCACUUUGUGAUUCAUGACUGGGGUGAAGUCGUAACAAGGUAACCGUAGGGGAACCUGCGGUUGGAUCACCUCCUUA
This 1540-nucleotide ribosomal RNA is filed under the name Klebsiella pneumoniae. RNAcentral's name for it is "bacterial SSU rRNA". It matches the Rfam family "Bacterial small subunit ribosomal RNA". The record is from RNAcentral. Lineage: Bacteria; Pseudomonadati; Pseudomonadota; Gammaproteobacteria; Enterobacterales; Enterobacteriaceae.